This 77-nucleotide transfer RNA is filed under the name Mesorhizobium sp. RNAcentral describes it as "tRNA-Gly". Lineage: Bacteria; Pseudomonadati; Pseudomonadota; Alphaproteobacteria; Hyphomicrobiales; Phyllobacteriaceae. The record is from RNAcentral.
CCCGGAAUAACGCAGAACGCCAGUCUACAACCUUGCCAAGGUUGGGGUCGAGCGUUCGAAUCGCUUCACCCGCUCCA